ACCCCAAAUCAAGCCUAAUAACUACUAUGAGUAAAAUUACAACAUUUCUACGACCUAAUAAAACAUUUUUCCACUUUAGUAGAGGUGAUCAAAAAACUUCUUAGCGCUUUAUAUCAAGUACCGCAAGGGAAUGAUGAAAUAGCUAUGAAAUAGCCCUAAAGUACUAAACAGCAGAGACUCCACUCGUACCUUUUGCAUCAUGGUUUAGCCAGUCCAAAUCAAGCAAAGCGAAACAUUAGUUUGACCUCCCGAAACUAGGCGAGCUACUUCGAAACAGCUUAAAAGAGCCAACCCGUCUCUGUUGCAAAAGAGUGGGAUGAUUUCCAAGUAGAAGUGAAAAGCCUACCGAGCCUAGAGAUAGCUGGUUAUUCAGGAAAAGAGUUUUAGCUCACCCUUAAGCUUACCUAUGAACACAAACAACACAACAGGCUUAAGAGUUAUUCAAUUAAGGCACAGCUUAUUUGAAAAAGAGUACAGUCUACAACCAAGGGUAAGUACCAAGAUUCGUGUUAAGUGGGCCUGAAAGCAGCCACCUUCAAAAAAGCGUUAAAGCUUUUCACAUCUCUGAUAUUUAAUACCAACACCUUUCUCGAACCCUUCACUAAUACUGAAUGACCCUAUAAAUUAUAGGAGACAUAAUGCUAAAACUAGUAACAAGAAAUAGACUUUCUCCGAAAUGCAAGUGUAAGCCAAAACGGACCCACCAUUGGCCUUUACCGUGUUUGACCCAAGUACAGCAACUCCUCCCAGAAAACCCUGUAUGCCCAAACGUUACCCUAACACAAGAACAUUCCCGGAAAGAUUAAAAGAGAAAGAAGGAACUCGGCAAACCUAAGCCCCGCCUGUUUACCAAAAACAUCGCCUCUUGAUUAAAUAUAAGAGGUCCAGCCUGCCCAGUGACAUAGUUAAACGGCCGCGGUACCCUGACCGUGCGAAGGUAGCAUAAUCACUUGUUCCUUAAAUAGGGACUUGUAUGAACGGCAUCACGAGGGCUUUACUGUCUCCUUUCUCCAAUCAGUGAAACUGAUCUCCCCGUGAAGAAGCGGGGAUGAUAAUAUAAGACGAGAAGACCCCAUGGAGCUUUAAACCCAACGACACCCCCUCAACUCCCCAACCCAUUUUAGUUGCUACAGUCCUGUUCGUUGGUUUUAGGUUGGGGUGACCGCGGAGUAUAGAUUAACCUCCACGACGAAUGGGACUACCCCCUUACCCAAGAGCUACUCCUCUAAGGAUCAAAAAAUUGACGUAAAAUGAUCCAAGCAUUUGAUCAACGGACCAAGUUACCCUGGGGAUAACAGCGCAAUCCAUUUCAAGAGCCCCUAUCGACAAAUGGGUUUACGACCUCGAUGUUGGAUCAGGGUACCCAAGUGGUGCAGCCGCUACUAAUGGUUUGUUUGUUCAACAAUUAAAACCCUACGUGAUCUGAGUUCAGACCGGAGCAAUCCAGGUCGGUUUCUAUCUAUAAAGUGUUACUCUUAGUACGAAAGGAUUGGAGUAACGUGGCCAAUAUAUAAACAAGCCACAGCUUAAGACUAAUGAAAAAAACUUAAUUAGCCACAGCCUAACACUCUCUCUUAGACCAAGACA
Molecule: ribosomal RNA, 1587 nt
Filed under: Hoplobatrachus chinensis x Hoplobatrachus rugulosus
Lineage: Eukaryota; Metazoa; Chordata; Amphibia; Anura; Dicroglossidae
Description: 16S ribosomal RNA
Rfam family: Bacterial large subunit ribosomal RNA
Source: RNAcentral